RNAcentral lists this long non-coding RNA (288 nucleotides) under Ananas comosus (pineapple). Its description in RNAcentral is "long non-coding RNA (ACOM_LNC037748)". Lineage: Eukaryota; Viridiplantae; Streptophyta; Magnoliopsida; Poales; Bromeliaceae. The record is from RNAcentral.
CAAUUUAAUGUAAAUACAAAAAUCUGGGUCCACCGUCAACCGCGACUGCAUCCGAUAGUCUGAAACAGUCUACACACUACUGUAAAAUAAACUCGGCAUCCCAGCACGAGCGUAAAUUUAUUCUACACUAUUCUGGAUAUCCGCCGCAUACAAAUUACGGCGAUACAAACAAACCACAGCUCCUAAAGCUAAAUCUAAUAAUUUUCAGAAAGUGACAGUGUAGAAUCUAAUAGUUUUCUCCAAAGAUAAUUCCAAGUCCAACAUGUAAAAUGAUACAACUAGCUUAAC